UAGGGAUGACAGCUGAGAUGUAUAUAGAAGUAGGUGGGUUGGACGUUCAACAAAGUUCUUUAAGGGGAAAGAUAACUCCAAUGAUAAAUGCAUCCUUUUGCCUUUGUUCUGUCUUCCUUUCUGCAGCUUGAAGCAAUGGAUGUGAUGUUUGGCGCUUCAGUCCCCAUUUUGAUAUUGUGAAAUUCCCCUGAGAAUGCAAGCAAAUGUUGAGAAUGGUGCAACAGAAAGGAAGAACUCGGUCCCUGAUGUAUUUAUGGAGCUACAAUUUUAGUGACUUGCUGUUCUCUGCUUUUGCUUGCCUGGAUUUUGGUAUCUGUGUCAUCUUCAAGAUGGAUGAUCCCUGGUUUGAAUUUGUGAGUGCAAGUUCAUUCAGCAGUCUUUUCAUGUGUGGUGUUUCCAGAAAUGUUAAUGAAUGAGAUUAACUUCAUGCCACCUACUGCAAUAAAAACCCUUGUAGAUUAAAGCUAAAGUGCAGAAGUGGAUGUGUGAUCUAUGAAUAUGGCCUGAUGCUUUUCUCAUAUCUCUUUGUUUUCAAUACUUAGAAACCUGAGUAUUUGGGAAAAAUGCAAAUUCUGAAAAAUCAGACUAGGCACUGUAGCUCACACCUGUAAUCCCAGCACUUUGGGAGGCCAAGGUGGGCAGAUCACCUGAGGUCAGGAGACUAGCCUGACCGACUUAGAGAAAUCCCAUCUCUACUAAAAAUACAAAAUUAGCCAGGCACGGUAGUGCAAGUCUGUGAUCCCAGUUACUCAGGAUGCUGAGGCAGGAGAAAUGCUUGAACCUAGGAGGUGAAAGUUGCCUUGAGCUGAAAUUGUGCCAUAUCAUUCCAGCCUGUGCAACAAGAGCUAAACUUUGCCCACCCACCAAAAAAAAAAAAAAAAAGAAUCUUAAUAAUUUUUCUAUUUUUAGCAAAUUUUUAGGUUCGAACUCAUUAUACAAUUAGGAGGAAGAAAAUGCAAUUGUUUUGGUGAUAUUUUUGGAAAACUUUACAAAAGAUUAGAUAUACUAUUCAAACAACUGAAAUGUAAUUGUUUAAUUCAAAUAAAAAAUCUGAAGCAAGUAUUGUUUGGUGGUGCCAGCCCCCAAAAAGUGAGCAAAACAACUUAUUGUCUCACAUAAACUUAUUUCAUUAAAUAGGCCUUUAGAAUUUAAACAACCUUUAGAAGCAGAACCAGAAAGACAUUUUUAAGAAGUGAGGGAGGAAUACUGGCUCAGAGGAUGAACAAGCACAAAAAAAUUAGAAGAGGAAAUUAUUACCUAGCGGCAUUAAACAUAAGCUUAGCUGGCAUUUGUCAUAGUAGUUUCAAUGUUAUGUACAAAAGAAAAUAUAUUUAGUUAUUGGUUUCAAAACAGAGAGGAGUCACCAAAUCUGGAAAUGGUACUACUUAUAUUGUUUUCAUUCACACAACCAACACUUAUUAAGUGUUACUAUUCACGAGGCGCUAAGUAAAGUGACUCCUGUUCUAAGGAGCUCCUAGAAGUGCUGGGA
RNAcentral lists this long non-coding RNA (1489 nucleotides) under Callithrix jacchus (white-tufted-ear marmoset). Its description in RNAcentral is "lncRNA (ENSCJAG00000054612.2)". Lineage: Eukaryota; Metazoa; Chordata; Mammalia; Primates; Cebidae. The record is from RNAcentral.